This 245-nucleotide ribosomal RNA is filed under the name uncultured Eubacteriales bacterium. RNAcentral's name for it is "uncultured Clostridiales bacterium partial 16S ribosomal RNA". It matches the Rfam family "Bacterial small subunit ribosomal RNA", at positions 524 to 768 of the family's 1533-position model. Lineage: Bacteria; Bacillati; Bacillota; Clostridia; Eubacteriales. The record is from RNAcentral.
UACAUAGGGAGCAAGCGUUAUCCGGAUUUAUUGGGUGUAAAGGGUGCGUAGACGGGAAUUUAAGUUAGUUGUGAAAUCCCUCGGCUUAACUGAGGAACUGCAACUAAAACUGGAUUUCUUGAGUGCGAGAGAGGAAAGCGGAAUUCCUAGUGUAGCGGUGAAAUGCGUAGAUAUUAGGAGGAACACCAGUGGCGAAGGCGGCUUUCUGGAUCGUAACUGACGUUGAGGCACGAAAGUGUGGGGAG